RNAcentral lists this non-coding RNA (28 nucleotides) under Rattus norvegicus (Norway rat). Lineage: Eukaryota; Metazoa; Chordata; Mammalia; Rodentia; Muridae. The record is from RNAcentral.
UAUAAAGAUGCUAUAAUGAAACCCAUUA